UACAGAGGUGCCAAGCGUUAGGCGGAAUCACUGGGCUUAAAGCGCGUGUAGGCGGCUAAGUAAGUCGGGCGUGAAAUCCCACGGCUCAACCGUGGAAGUGCACUCGAAACUGCAUAGCUAGAGUCCUGGAGAGGAAGGUGGAAUGCUUGGUGUAGAGGUGAAAUUCGUAGAUAUCAAGCGGAACACCGGUGGCGAAGGCGGAUCUCUGGGCCUUACCGUGACGCUGAGGAGCGAAAGCGUGGGGAGCGAACAGG
This 254-nucleotide ribosomal RNA is filed under the name uncultured bacterium. Its description in RNAcentral is "partial 16S ribosomal RNA". It matches the Rfam family "Bacterial small subunit ribosomal RNA", at positions 524 to 776 of the family's 1533-position model. The record is from RNAcentral.